Molecule: ribosomal RNA, 253 nt
Filed under: uncultured bacterium
Lineage: Bacteria
Description: partial 16S ribosomal RNA
Rfam family: Bacterial small subunit ribosomal RNA
Source: RNAcentral
UACGUAGGGUGCAAGCGUUGUCCGGAAUUAUUGGGCGUAAAGAGCUCGUAGGCGGUCUGUCGCGUCGAAUGUGAAAACCCGGGGCUCAACCCCGGGCCUGCAUUCGAUACGGGCAGACUAGAGUUCGGUAGGGGAGUCUGGAAUUCCUGGUGUAGCGGUGAAAUGCGCAGAUAUCAGGAGGAACACCGGUGGCGGAGGCGGGACUCUGGGCCGAUACUGACGCUGAGGAGCGAAAGCGUGGGGAGCGAACAGG